CAGUCGAGCGGAACGAGUUAUCUGAACCUUCGGGGAACGAUAACGGCGUCGAGCGGCGGACGGGUGAGUAAUGCCUAGGAAAUUGCCCUGGUGUGGGGGAUAACCAUUGGAAACGAUGGCUAAUACCGCAUAAUACCUACGGGUCAAAGAGGGGGACCUUCGGGCCUCUCGCGUCAGGAUAUGCCUAGGUGGGAUUAGCUAGUUGGUGAGGUAAUGGCUCACCAAGGCGACGAUCCCUAGCUGGUCUGAGAGGAUGAUCAGCCACACUGGAACUGAGACACGGUCCAGACUCCUACGGGAGGCAGCAGUGGGGAAUAUUGCACAAUGGGCGCAAGCCUGAUGCAGCCAUGCCGCGUGUGUGAAGAAGGCCUUCGGGUUGUAAAGCACUUUCAGUCGUGAGGAAGGUAGUGUAGUUAAUAGCUGCAUUAUUUGACGUUAGCGACAGAAGAAGCACCGGCUAACUCCGUGCCAGCA
Molecule: ribosomal RNA, 474 nt
Filed under: bacterium BWC14
Lineage: Bacteria
Description: bacterial SSU rRNA
Rfam family: Bacterial small subunit ribosomal RNA
Source: RNAcentral